This is a non-coding RNA of Chlorocebus sabaeus (green monkey), 1294 nucleotides long. The record is from RefSeq and is a predicted model, not a curated record. Lineage: Eukaryota; Metazoa; Chordata; Mammalia; Primates; Cercopithecidae.
UUGCUGCUGGAGAUGUAGGGCUUGGGAGUCUCCACUGUGCAAAUAACAGAGAAGAUUGCCCUGUGUGGCACCUUUGAUUCCCCCAAAGACAUUUUUCAAUCAGAGAUAGCCUUUCCCACCUCUCAGCCUACCCCAGUCCUUAAAAGCCCAUGGCAGAUGUGUGUGUUACAAGACAGAUGCAUGGCAAUCUGAGGGCUCAGAGAUUGUGAGGCUGCCUGCUUCAUGUGGGAGAAGCACAGACUUUCUCAAGUGUGAAUUGAGCAGCAGCGUUGGGUCAUGGAAAGAUAUGGGACCAGCAGUCACAGCCCCUGGUGCCUCUCUGAGUCCCUCCCUCUCCAACUGCCUGGCUGGCCCACCUUGGGGUCCUCACCUGGAGCAUGCAGUGCUGGAAUCUUCUUAGUUUCAGUCUUACUUUGUCCCCCAAGGUAUGCUUUCUCUGCACCUUCCCUUUCCAAGGACAUCCUAGAGAUGGAUGAUGGAACUCCCCAUUGUCCUUAAACUUUGGGUACUGGGAAGCCUGGCCUGUGAUUGUGUACUUCAGCAGAAAUAACACAGGGGAGACCAGAGUCAAGCCUGGAGGUCAGUUCAGUCAUCAGGCAGUGGAGCUACAAGUUGGGGCAGUAUUCCCAGCUGUCUCAUAGUGAACUGACUUGAGCCAGUGAUCUCUAAAGAUAGAACAGAGUCCAUGGGAUGACCUACAAAAAGUGAAGGCGACAAGCAAGAGCUGAUAGCUUUGGACCAAGACCACGUUCCCUGUCCUGUAUGCAUGAUGUUCCCUUCCCCCUGUAGAGGGCAGGUGAUUACCAUGUGUAUCUUUCUAGAAAUACAUGUGGAUGUUUGCAAAUGCAGAACUGAUUGUGGAAAGGCCGAACUUGAAGUGGUGAUGGAAAUCUGGCCCUCAUGGACCACACGGGUUUGGUGGCUAUUAGACCAAUGUUUGGGAAGAAGUCUUGCGGAUACUUUCUCUCAUUAGACAUUCUACUCUCUGAUAUUGAAAUACAACUCGAGUUUCAGUUUAUGUGAAUUAGGAAGAGUCCAAGUGAGACGCCAAUGGCUCAUGUGCCUCCCACACGAAGAACUCCAACUUAUGAAAAUGGCAUCAUCAUGAGGAAACAAUCAUAUGUGCCACAGGCAGUAAAACCACUAGAUAGCAGCCACCUGGCCACCUCCAACAGGUCCCCAAAACCACCAGUAUUCCUAUUACGUGUGUGUUACAGACUUGGUAGUUGUCCCACAACUACAACAUUUAAAAAUUGCAAUUGUCAAUACAAAAUGUUACAUAUGAAGUUGAAAA